This 164-nucleotide ribosomal RNA is filed under the name Stewartia ovata. RNAcentral's name for it is "5.8S ribosomal RNA". It matches the Rfam family "5.8S ribosomal RNA". Rfam says of the family: 5.8S ribosomal RNA (5.8S rRNA) is a component of the large subunit of the eukaryotic ribosome. It is transcribed by RNA polymerase I as part of the 45S precursor that also contains 18S and 28S rRNA. RNAcentral also lists the same sequence under 8 other names. The record is from RNAcentral. Lineage: Eukaryota; Viridiplantae; Streptophyta; Magnoliopsida; Ericales; Theaceae.
UAAACGACUCUCGGCAACGGAUAUCUCGGCUCUCGCAUCGAUGAAGAACGUAGCGAAAUGCGAUACUUGGUGUGAAUUGCAGAAUCCCGUGAACCAUCGAGUCUUUGAACGCAAGUUGCGCCCGAAGCCAUUAGGUUGAGGGCACGUCUGCCUGGGCGUCUCAC